This 375-nucleotide unclassified non-coding RNA is filed under the name uncultured Parachlamydiaceae bacterium. RNAcentral describes it as "contains 16S-23S intergenic spacer region". The record is from RNAcentral. Lineage: Bacteria; Pseudomonadati; Chlamydiota; Chlamydiia; Parachlamydiales; Parachlamydiaceae.
UCCGGCUUAUCACCGGCGGUUUCUUUAGAGUGCCCAACUAAAUGAUGGCAACUAACGAUAAGGGUUGCGCUCGUUGCGGGACUUAACCAACACCUCACGGCACGAGCUGACGACAGCCAUGCAGCACCUGUUCAGCGGCUCCGAAGAGCGUUUGUAUUUCUACAAACUUCCACUGUAUGUCAAGUCUGGGUAAGGUUCUUCGCGUUGCAUCGAAUUAAACCACAUGCUCCACUGCUUGUGCGGGUCCCCGUCAAUUCUUUUGAGUUUCACCCUUGCGAGCGUACUCCCCAGGCGGUAUACUUAUCGCGUUAGCUACGGCACAGCCAGGGUUGAUUCCGGCUACACCAAGUAUACAUCGUUUACAGCAAGGACUAC